Small nuclear RNA from Felis catus (domestic cat), 164 nucleotides. It matches the Rfam family "U1 spliceosomal RNA". From Rfam's summary of the family: U1 is a small nuclear RNA (snRNA) component of the spliceosome (involved in pre-mRNA splicing). Its 5' end forms complementary base pairs with the 5' splice junction, thus defining the 5' donor site of an intron. Lineage: Eukaryota; Metazoa; Chordata; Mammalia; Carnivora; Felidae. The record is from Rfam.
AUACUUACCUGGCAGGGGAGAUACCAUGAUCACGAAGGUGGUUUUCCCAGGGCGAGGCUUAUCCAUUGCACUCCGGAUGUGCUGACCCCUGCGAUUUCCCCAAAUGUGGGAAACUCGACUGCAUAAUUUGUGGUAGUGGGGGACUGCGUUCGCGCUUUCCAAAA